Molecule: ribosomal RNA, 253 nt
Filed under: uncultured bacterium
Lineage: Bacteria
Description: partial 16S ribosomal RNA
Rfam family: Bacterial small subunit ribosomal RNA
Source: RNAcentral
UACGGAGGAUGCGAGCGUUAUCCGGAUUCAUUGGGUUUAAAGGGUGCGUAGGCGGGUUAAUAAGUCAGUGGUGAAAUUUUGCAGCUUAACUGUAAACGUGCCAUUGAUACUGUUAGUCUUGAGUGUGGUCAAGGUAGGCGGAAUGUGUAAUGUAGCGGUGAAAUGCUUAGAUAUUACACAGAACACCGAUUGCGAAGGCAGCUUACUGGGCCACCACUGACGCUGAGGCACGAAAGCGUGGGGAGCAAACAGG